AGGAACUCAUCAUGUGAUAUUUUAAAGAUUUUCAAAGAUAAAAUUCUCCAGAUUUCUAGCAUCUCUAGGAACACAUAAACAGCAACUCAACCUUCCCAUAUCAUAUCCGUUAACAACUUAGACUUCAGAUCAAGUUCUCUUCCCACAAGUUCAGGUUUAGAGCAAGCUUUAAAUUAUAAUAAUUAUGUCUAAACUUGAGAGAGAACUCAAAUUUGAAAAUUAGGCAGAGCAACUAUUCAUCAU
RNAcentral lists this long non-coding RNA (243 nucleotides) under Sorghum bicolor (sorghum). RNAcentral describes it as "long non-coding RNA (SBIC_LNC004475)". The record is from RNAcentral. Lineage: Eukaryota; Viridiplantae; Streptophyta; Magnoliopsida; Poales; Poaceae.